Long non-coding RNA from Chelonia mydas (Green sea turtle), 3647 nucleotides. RefSeq lists it as uncharacterized. NCBI's taxonomy places the organism in Eukaryota, Metazoa, Chordata, Testudines, Cheloniidae. The record is from RefSeq and is a predicted model, not a curated record. The transcript has 2 exons.
CAAGCCCUGGCUGGGAUGAUUUAGUUGGGGAUUGGUCCUGCUUUGAGCAAGGAUGACCUCCUGAGGUCCCUUCCAAACCUGAUACUCUAUGAUUCUAUGAAAAAGCUCCAUGCCUUUACAAAUAAUCCUUUGCUCAAUGCAGGCCAAAGUACAUGUGCCAAUUCGGGAGUUUAAAAGUGAACCCUGUGGCGGAAGCAGUGGAGAUUAAGAACAUUUUCUGAAUCUCUGCAUGAUUUUUUCAAGCUGUUAAGUUUUGAUUAACUUGUAUAUGGAAACUACGUGCACAGUCACGAAAUUUUCUGGAUGAAAAAUUAUCCUUCUCUUUUACGUUAUACAGAAAAUUUUAACCGGUUUGCUUUCUGAGAUCAAACAGAUGAGGAAGAGGGGAACAAAAUAGGUUUCAGAGUAACAGCCCUGUUAGUCUGUAUUCGCAAAAAGAAAAGGAGUACUUGUGGCACCUUAGAGACUAACCAAUUUAUUUGAGCAUAAUAAAAACUCUUAAUGCAACCAUGGAGGCAUGGUAGUGAGUCCAUAGUAUGGUAACCGGAUAAAUUACACAGGAAAAUGUAUUUCUUUCUUAUGUAAUGAUUAGUUUGAAAAGCAACAGAUAACUUUUCUUCAAAAUUAGGGCCAAAUCCUGCCUGUUUUACUCACACAAGUAGCCCCACUGACUGUAGUGCAUAAGAGAAGCAUAAUUUUGUCUUCUAGUUUUUCUAAUUUCAGGUGUGAAAGUUCCAUAUGCUUCAGAGAAUGGUACCUAGAGAGUAAAACUGAUUCAAGAGGCAACAUGUACUACUCUUGGAGCUGUAUUAGGAAUGAAUUCAGCUUUCUGCUCCUUCUUCCUCAUAUUCCUCCAGACAAGCGGAUCCUUCUUAUCCAAUCCCUCUGUAGUACUAUAACUAGAUAUUAGAAUUUACAUUUAACUGAUUAGCUGAGUCAACUGUAGCUGGACUUACAGUAUGAACGUCUUAGACCUUACCUGAGCAAAGACUAAUUGGGAUUCUCAGAGUCUGUAGGCAGCUGUUCUACAAGAUGACCCACAAGUGAGCCUCUCUCUGGCUGAGCCAGUAGGGGUGUCUGCUUUAGAAAUCCCUCUUACCCCUUCGUGCAAUGACAGCAUGAGGACUUGAUUGUUUAUGCUCAGAAAACAGUACUUUUUGAAUGGUAGGCAAAAGUGAUUUUUCAGACUAUAACUGACACUAAGACAAUAAGACAUCUGAACUAACUUAAAACACUCCAUCUCAAAUACAUUUGCAAAAAAUUAUAUAUUUAUGUGCACUACCCCCCAAAGAAUGAACACCUCCCUAACUAAAACAUUUGUAUUUUAUUGUCCUCUGUUAGCACACAAAUGUUUGCUACAUUUAAUUUCUUUCCCAUAAUGUAUCAAACCACCAACAUGAUGGUAACAAUCACUUAUCACUACCAGCCAGGGCCACAUUAGAACUGGUGACCUCCAGGUAUACAAGGUAUAAAGUGUAAGUUAUCCAGCCCCCCAAAUGUCAUUUGACCACUUAAAAUCACCCGAAAACUGCAUAUAUCAGAAACGAACAUAAAUGUAAUUUGUCCCAAAUCUCAACUUACUUCUUUUGAAGGAUUCAUUGGUAAUGUAAAGAUUGUUUUCCAGUAAGACCAGACAAACAGCAUGAAAAAUAGGUGAUAGGCAAUCAGGCACACAACUAAAAUUAAAGAGGGUUAUAAUUAAUAUAUUAUACAGAAGAGAACAGCAACAGCAUAUUAAUUAUAUAUGCAAACUAUCAGCAUCACUAAGGCUGUAAGAAAAUCAUGUGCCACAGUUUUGUUGCAGAAACUGCAACUUUUAACACACACAGCAACUUUUUAGAGUUGCUGCAAAUGUUAGUGGCAUUGUGACCCAUGCACCAUGUUGCAAUGCUACUCAAAUUUGGCCAGCAGGUAGGCUAAAUCCCAGGGAGUGGCACCGCAACUUGGCACACAGGGUUGCAAUGCCAAUCAUUCAGAUUUGGCCCAGCCACCCCUCCAUCAUGCUUUUUUGACCACCAAGUGGGACACAUGGCAUUUCUUCUGUCCUGCUGCCCUACUUUGGAAGGUAGGCUGCAUGUCUUGAACCACAACUUAAACUAUGACUGCAACUUUUGAAAAAAAAAAAUCACUACUUUUUUUACAGCCUUAAGCAUACAGGUGUACAGGUACCCUAAUGAACGCAAAUGUAUCCAUUUAAUACAGUGUAAUGAUAUUGGUAGACAAGAUGUUGCACUGAAACCUUAGACGAAACACAAAUUUACUGUUGUAAAAAAUAAUAUUAAACAUUAAACUGAAUUAAGGUAGUAAAACCCUAAUUAGCAAAAGGAAAAAACACAAAGUACUCCCAGUAUUUUCCUGGAUGCACUGGGUAAACUUAACUGACCCUUCCCUCCCUUUCAGUAUUAUGAGCUAUAUGUGAAAUCGUUAGCUGUGCAAGAAAGGGAAUAUGACAACCUAAACUUUAUCCUGCAUAGGCGAUGAGAAUCUUUCAAAUACUGUACAUGGAUACAUUUGGAUUUGAACAUUAGCCUUAAUGUGUACUAGUUUUUUGUUCAUGGUAGUUUUGCUGUUACACAGUCCAAAUACAGGUUUUUAAAUGGUCAAAACAGUUUAUUCUUUAGAUCCAUUGUGAUGUAUUCUUGUAGCUCUUAAUAGUACAAUCAAGAUUUACCGGGCUGUGGUAUUUUGUCACAUUCUCUAUUCUUACAAUGAGAACUAUGUCAGCAAAUCUGUCUUAAGCGGAUAGUGAAAUUUUAUGAACACCACUCACUGUAUGUCCAAUAAUUGCUCAAUAUUCUUGAUCUCUCUCAUAUUAACAUAUAGCAUAAUUCACUACAAUGAAGGACAAGGCCAAACUCCAGUGCCCACUCCAAGUAGCCUGACCAGACAUCAAGAAGAUGUGCAGGGAAGAAGAAUCCAUCUCAUUCCUCCAGGCUGCAGCAUGCUGUACAGCUGCUACACGCGGCACUUACACACCCCCUAUAUGGUGAAUUGGAGAGAGGAUCUGCACAGAAUACUCUGCCCCUGCAGUGCAAGUGGGUUCUACACCACACAAAAUGUCUGCACACAUCUGCUGCCAUGGCACCCUUGAGGAGUUCCCCCUCCACACCCACACAACACCUGAGCCAGACAAGGAGGAGAAAGAAGAGGACUUGGGAUCAAAUGUUCAAUGAGAUCCUGCAAGCCAGUGCUGCAUCCGACCUUGAGCAAAAGGCAUAGAGGGUGAACACUGCAGAUGGCCUGGAGAAGGAAAGAGCAGACUGGAGAAAGGCUCUGGAGUCCAAGCAGAAAAAGAAGAGGGAGAUGCACCAGGACAUAAUGGGCUUCUCCAGCAGCAAACACAGACUCUUAUGGACCUACAGAUUUAACAAUCACAGGCUCUCCUGUCUUUGCAGUCCAUGGACAUCUCCAUUACAGCACCUCCCUACACCUGCCUUUCAACAUUUUAUGUGGCAUCAGGGGCCUCAUCCCUACCCCUAUUACUCCACUCCGGGGGACAUUAAGACAACCACAGCCUCACAGACACUGACCUGUGAAAGCCACAGUUGCUGAAUGCGUAGGUAAAAUGGACAUGAAUGUUCUUUCCCCUUCAUAAAUUCUGCUCCAUUAAUUUAUUAAGUUUUUAAUAUAUUUGCUUUUAAAUUACA